AUACAAUUCAGUUGAUUUCCGUAGUUCAAACAAGCAACACCUUCGGAAUUGAACUCCAAAUUCUAAGUGAUUUUCGGUUGUCUUUUAAAUUUAACAAAUUUUCGGCUAGUUUUAAGAAUAAAGUUUUGUUAUUUAAUAUUAGUUCUAAGUAUAAAGUGAAAUUACUUAUAUCGAAUCAUAGUGCACCAGAAUUCUUGAAGCACCAAAAACAGACUCGGCUCUUCCUUUUCUUUUCGAUUGGUAAAUAUUUGUUAUAUCGUUUAAUUUGAUAAAAUUCCUUCUGAACAGUACAAUUUUUUUUCAGUUUUUUUUUUUUUUGAGUUUUUAACACAUUUCCAUUUAUGUUUUCGGGAUAUGCAAAACUAAUAAAACAAACCGUUAUAGUGGUAAGACUUAUAUGUGUAAUCGCCUACGCUGACAAUGGGCAAUAAGAAUGAACUCUUGCCCCGUAUUGAAAGGAUAUCUCUUUGGAAACUACACCAUACUUCGAUCAAACACACCAAACUGGCAAAGCAAGCCUUCCGAAAAUGCCAUGAUGACACCAUUACAUGUGUUCUUCUUGCAGGAGAUUACAUAAUAAAAUCAGAAACUCUACCAGACUCAAAACCAUAUGAUAUACAACAGUUCGCAGAAUAUAUGUGGAUAUAAAACUAAAACCGUUAUACAUAAGAAUAAUAUAUCAUUUUAAUACUAAUCAUAGAGAUAACUCUCUCUCCUCGUUCAGACACACCAUACCUGGAUCAAACACACCAAACUGGCCAAGCAGGAGACCUUCCCUAAAUACCAUGAUGACACCAUUACAUGUGGAUGGGGAAUUAUAUAUUAAAAACAAAUGCUCGACUACACUGAACAUCAAAAUACAUUUGGAUAUAAUACUUAAACCUUUAAAUAUAAUAAAUUUACACUUUUACACUUCAAGCAAGCCUCCCGAAAAUGCCAUGAUGACACCAUUACAUGUGUUCUUCUUGCAGGAGAUUACAUAAUAAAAUCAGAAACUCUACCAGACUCAAAACCAUAUGAUAUAUAUCAGUUCGCAGAAUAUAUGUGGAUAUAAAACUAAAACCGUUAUACAUAACAAUAUAAUAUUUUAAUACUAAUCAUAGAGAUAACUCUCUCUCCUCGUUCAGACACACCAUACCUGGAUCAAACACACCAAACUGGCCAAGCAGGAGACCUUCCCUAAAUGCCAUGAUGACACCAUUACAUGUGUUCUUCUUGCAGGAGAUUACAUAAUAAAAUCAGAAACUCUACCAGACUCAAAACCAUAUGAUAUACAUCAGUUCGCAGAAUAUAUGUGGAUAUAAAACUAAAACCGUUAUACAUAACAAUAUAAUAUUUUAAUACUAAUCAUAGAGAUAACUCUCUCUCCUCGUUCAGACACACCAUACCUGGAUCAAACACACCAAACUGGCCAAGCAGGAGACCUUCCCUAAAUACCAUGAUGACACCAUUACAUGUGGAUGAGGAAUUAUAUAUAGCAAAAACAAAUGCUCGACUACACUGAACAUCAAAAUACAUUUGGAUAUAAUACUAAAACCUUUAAAUAUAAUAAAUUUACACUUUUACACUUCAAGCAAGCCUCCCGAAAAUGCCAUGAUGACACCAUUACAUGUGUUCUUCUUGCAGGAGAUUACAUAAUAAAAUCAGAAACUCUACCAGACUCAAAACCAUAUGAUAUAUAUCAGUUCGCAGAAUAUAUGUGGAUAUAAAACUAAAACCGUUAUACAUAACAAUAUAAUAUUUUAAUACUAAUCAUAGAGAUAACUCUCUCUCCUCGUUCAGACACACCAUACCUGGAUCAAACACACCAAACUGGCCAAGCAGGAGACCUUCCGUAAAUGCCAUGAUGACUCCAUUACAUGUGGAUGGGGAAUUUGAUAUUACAUAUUAAAAACAAAUACUCGACUACACUGAACAUCAAAAUACAUUUGGAUAUAAUACUGAAACCUUUAAAUAUAAUAAAUUUACACUUUUACACUUCAAGCAAGCCUCCCGAAAAUGCCAUGAUGACACCAUUACAUGUGUUCUUCUUGCAGGAGAUUACAUAAUAAAAUCAGAAACUCUACCAGACUCAAAACCAUAUGAUAUAUAUCAGUUCGCAGAAUAUAUGUGGAUAUAAAACUAAAACCGUUAUACAUAACAAUAUAAUAUUUUAAUACUAAUCAUAGAGAUAACUCUCUCUCCUCGUUCAGACACACCAUACCUGGAUCAAACACACCAAACUGGCCAAGCAGGAGACCUUCCCUAAAUGCCAUGAUGACACCAUUACAUGUGGAAUUUGAUUGUGGUAAUUUGAUAUUACAUAUUAAAAACAAAAGCUCGAAUACACUGAACAUCAAAAUACAUUUGGAUAUAAUACUAAAACCUUUAAAUAUAAUAAAUUUACACUUUUACACUUCAA
Drosophila sechellia is the source of this 2401-nucleotide long non-coding RNA. RefSeq lists it as uncharacterized. The record is from RefSeq and is a predicted model, not a curated record. The transcript has 15 exons. Lineage: Eukaryota; Metazoa; Arthropoda; Insecta; Diptera; Drosophilidae.